RNAcentral lists this long non-coding RNA (271 nucleotides) under Hordeum vulgare. RNAcentral describes it as "long non-coding RNA (HVUL_LNC020642)". Lineage: Eukaryota; Viridiplantae; Streptophyta; Magnoliopsida; Poales; Poaceae. The record is from RNAcentral.
UUUUGUUGCAAAGCUUUCAAGUCUACAUACUGCAGCUUCGACAACAGGGAAGCAUAAACCAAAAGAACAAGAAUGCAUAGAGCAAACAGUAUCAAAGAGCUGCAAGGAAAUUUCCUGCCAAGACCUGCAUCGCCAGAACAGAGCACCAUUGAUAAUGCGCAGAACUUCAUUGGCCAAUGACGCCUGACGGUCGUCGUCACAGCUGCGGUGGAACACAGGGAUUCAGACAUCGAAAGCAGGGAUCAGAGAUGAUUACAUAAGUCGAACGCAC